AAAAAACGUGGACCACUUGAUCUCCCUCAUUAAUUGAGGUGGCAGAUCAAGUAGCCACCAGCACGCGUUCCAUGGUGGACUUGAGUCAAUGCGGCAUAGGCUUGGUAUUUAAAAGUAACACACAAGAUUAAAACAAUUGGAAAAGGAUCAAUGGCUCUGAACCAUGCCAACACAUCACCGGUGUCCAAAGGUCGGUAAUCUUCUCCGGUGACCCUGGCCGGACUGGUUCACUCAUCACCAUCAAGAAAAUGAAAAAGGAGGACAUGAUCGGAAAGAAAAAAUGGCGUAGAGCACGAAUCUGACCUCAAUUUUAACUAACUCCACAUAU
This 328-nucleotide long non-coding RNA is filed under the name Lathyrus oleraceus (garden pea). RNAcentral's name for it is "Pisum sativum (pea) long non-coding RNA (PSAT_LNC004642)". The record is from RNAcentral. Lineage: Eukaryota; Viridiplantae; Streptophyta; Magnoliopsida; Fabales; Fabaceae.